Molecule: ribosomal RNA, 253 nt
Filed under: uncultured bacterium
Lineage: Bacteria
Description: partial 16S ribosomal RNA
Rfam family: Bacterial small subunit ribosomal RNA
Source: RNAcentral
GACGGAAGGUGCAAGCGUUGCUCGGAAUCACUGGGCGUAAAGGGUGCGUAGGCGGCCUGGUAAGUCUGGCGUGAAAGCCCAGGGCUCAGCCCUGGAAGUGCGCUAGAAACUGCGAGGCUCGAGUGCCGGAGGGGAGAGUGGAAUUCCUGGUGUAGCGGUGAAAUGCGCAGAUAUCAGGAAGAACACCAAUGGCGAAGGCAGCUCUCUGGGACGGUACUGACGCUGAGACGCGAAAGCGUGGGGAGCGAACAGG